RNAcentral lists this ribosomal RNA (422 nucleotides) under Fusobacteriota bacterium. Its description in RNAcentral is "Fusobacteria bacterium partial 16S ribosomal RNA". It matches the Rfam family "Bacterial small subunit ribosomal RNA", at positions 355 to 776 of the family's 1533-position model. The record is from RNAcentral. Lineage: Bacteria; Fusobacteriati; Fusobacteriota.
UGGGGGAUUUUGCACAAUGGGCGCAAGCCUGAUGCAGCGACGCCGCGUGAGGGAUGAAGGCCUUCGGGUUGUAAACCUCUUUCGCUGGGUUGAAAGGCCAUGCUUUGGGUGUGGUUGAUUUGAACUGGUAAAGAAGUACCGGCUAACUACGUGCCAGCAGCCGCGGUCAUACGUAGGGUACUAGCGUUGUCCGGAUUUAUUGGGCGUAAAGGGCUUGUAGGUGGUUUGUCGCGUCUGUCGUGAAAUCCUGUGGCUUAACCAUGGGCUUGCGGUGGGUACGGGCAGGCUUGAGUGCGGUAGGGGAGACUGGAAUUCCUGGUGUAGCGGUGGAAUGCGCAGAUAUCAGGAGGAACACCGGUGGCGAAGGCGGGUCUCUGGGCCGUUACUGACACUGAGGAGCGAAAGCGUGGGGAGCGAACAGG